GAUGAACGCUGGCGGCGUGCCUAAUACAUGCAAGUCGAGCGAACGGACGAGAAGCUUGCUUUUCUGAUGUUAGCGGCGGACGGGCGAGUAACACGUGGAUAACAUACUUCUAAGUCUGGGAUAAUUUCGGGAAAAAGGAGCUAAUAAUGGCUAAUAUUUUGAACCGCAUGGUUCAAAAGUAAAAGACGGCUUUGCUGUCACUUAUAGCUGGUUCCGCGCUGCAUUAGUUAGUUGGUAAGGUAACGGCUUACCAAGGCAACGAUGCAUAGCCGACCUGAGAGGGUGAUCGGCCACACUGGAACUGAGACACGGUCCAGACUCCUACGGGAGGCAGCAGUAGGGAAUCUUCCGCAAUGGGCGAAAGCCUGUCCGAGCAACGCCGCGUGAGUGAUGAAGGUCUUCGGAUCGUAAAGCUCUGUUAUUAGGGAAGAACAGAUGUGUAAUUAACUGUGCACAUCUUGACGGUACCUAAUCAGAAAGCCACGGCUAACUACGUG
Molecule: ribosomal RNA, 497 nt
Filed under: uncultured bacterium
Lineage: Bacteria
Description: partial 16S ribosomal RNA
Rfam family: Bacterial small subunit ribosomal RNA
Source: RNAcentral